Molecule: ribosomal RNA, 253 nt
Filed under: uncultured bacterium
Lineage: Bacteria
Description: partial 16S ribosomal RNA
Rfam family: Bacterial small subunit ribosomal RNA
Source: RNAcentral
UACGUAGGGUGCGAGCGUUAAUCGGAAUUACUGGGCGUAAAGCGUGCGUAGGCGGUUCCUCAAGUCCGUUGUGAAAGCCCCGGGCUCAACCUGGGAAUGGCAGUGGAAACUAGGGGACUGGAAUCUGGCAGAGGGGGGUGGAAUGCCGCGUGUAGCAGUGAAAUGCGUAGAGAUGCGGCGGAACACCGAUGGCGAAGGCAGCCCCCUGGGCUGAGAUUGACGCUCAGGCACGAAAGCGUGGGGAGCAAACAGA